This 425-nucleotide ribosomal RNA is filed under the name uncultured bacterium. RNAcentral describes it as "partial 16S ribosomal RNA". It matches the Rfam family "Bacterial small subunit ribosomal RNA", at positions 354 to 796 of the family's 1533-position model. The record is from RNAcentral.
GUGGGGAAUAUUGGACAAUGGGCGAAAGCCUGAUCCAGCAAUGCCGCGUGAGUGAAGAAGGCCUUCGGGUUGUCAAGCUCUUUUACCCGGGAAGAUAAUGACUGGACCGGGAGAAUAAGCCCCGGCUAACUCCGUGCCAGCAGCCGCGGUAAUACGGAGGGGGCUAGCGUUGUUCGGAAUUACUGGGCGUAAAGCGCACGUAGGCGGUCUUUUAAGUCAGAGGUGAAAGCCCGGGGCUCAACUCCGGAAUUGCCUUUGAAACUGGGAGACUUGAACACGGGAGAGGUGAGUGGAAUUCCGAGUGUAGAGGUGAAAUUCGUAGAUAUCCGGAGGAACACCGGUGGCGAAGGCGGCCACCUGGACAGGUACUGACGCUGAGGCGCGAAAGCGUGGGGAGCAAACAGGAUUAGAUACCCGAGUAGUCC